GCGGGGAUACACUUAACAUGCUAGUCGGACGGCAGCACGGGUGCUUGCCCUGGUGGCGAGUGGCGAACGGGUGAGUAAUACAUCGGAACAUGUCCUGUAGUGGGGGAUAGCCCGGCGUAAGCCGGAUUAAUACCGUAUACGAUCUAUGGAUGAAAGCGGGGGACCUUCAACCCUCGCGCUAUAGGGUUGGCCGAUGCCUGAUUAGCUAGUUGGUGAGGUAGAGGCCUACCAAGGCGACGAUCAGUAGCUGGUCUGAGAGGACGACCAGUCUAACUGGGACUGAGACAGGGCCCAGACUUAUACGGGAGGCAGCGGUGGGGAAUUUUGGACAAUGGGCGAAAGCCUGAUCCAGCAAUGCCGCGUGGUGUGAAGAAGGCCUUCGGGUUGUAAAGGCACUUUUGUCCGGGAAAGGAAAUCCUUGGCUCUAAUACAGCCGGGGGAUGACGGGUACCGGAGGAAUAAAGCACCGGGCUAACUACUUGCCAGCAGCCGCGGUAAAUACGUAGGGGUGCAAGCGUUAAUCGGAAUUACUGGGGCGUAAAAGCGUGCGCGGGCGGUUUGCUAAGACCGAUGUGAAAUCCCCCGGGCUCAACCUGGGAACUGCAUUGGUGACUGGCAGGCUAGAGUAUGGCAGAAGGGGGGGAAAAAUUCCACGUGUAGCAGUGAAAUGCGUAGAGAUUGUGGAGGAAUACCGAUGGCGAAGGGCAGCCCCCCUUGGGCCAAUACUGACGCUCAUGCACGAAAGCCGUGGGGGGAGCAAACAGGAUUAGAUACCCCUGGUAGUCCCACGCCCCUAAACGAUGUCAACUAGUUUGUUGGGGGGGAUACAUUUCCUUUAGCUAACGGUAGCCUAACGGCGUGAAGGUUGACCCCGCCAUGGGGGAGUACGGUCGGCAAGAUUAAGACUUCAAGAAAUUGGACGGGGGACCCGCACCAAGGCCGGUGGAAUGAUGUGGCAUUAAAUUCCGGAUGCAACGCGUAAACACCUUAACCUACCCUGGACAUUGCUCGGCAAUCCCUGUAGAGAUCGUGAGUUCCUCGGAGAGAGCGAACCUGUGGGCGCUCCACUGU
This 1071-nucleotide ribosomal RNA is filed under the name Burkholderia sp. RNAcentral's name for it is "bacterial SSU rRNA". It matches the Rfam family "Bacterial small subunit ribosomal RNA", at positions 39 to 1052 of the family's 1533-position model. The record is from RNAcentral. Lineage: Bacteria; Pseudomonadati; Pseudomonadota; Betaproteobacteria; Burkholderiales; Burkholderiaceae.